This 1659-nucleotide ribosomal RNA is filed under the name metagenome. RNAcentral's name for it is "bacterial LSU rRNA". It matches the Rfam family "Bacterial large subunit ribosomal RNA", at positions 1180 to 2925 of the family's 2925-position model. The record is from RNAcentral.
GCUAAACUAUACACCGAAGCUUGGGAUACAUCUAAUGUAUGGUAGGAGAGCGUUGUAUACGGGGUGAAGUCAGAGCGGAAGCGCUGGUGGACUUUAUUCGAGUGAGAAUGCCGGAAUGAGUAGCGAGAAUUAUGUGAGAAUCAUAAUGGCCGAAAAUCUAAGGUUUCCUGAGGAAGGUUCGUCCGCUCAGGGUAAGCCGGGGGCUAAGGCGAGGCGGAGACGCGUAGCCGAUGCACAUACGGUUGAAAUUCCGUAGCCACCGAAAGAUUUAAGUACAGGGACGCUUUAGAAGUGAUGUUGCCGGGCGAUGGUUGACCCGGUCGUAAGGGAUCGAAAAUGAGUAGAGAAGUCAUCAUGGAAAGAGACAAGAAAAGCUGUAUGAAUAUCUUAGGUGCCCGUACCGCAAACCGACACAGGUAGAUAGGAAGAAGAUUCUAAGGCCAACGGGAGAAGGGUUGUUAAGGAACUCGGCAAGUUGACCCCGUAACUUAGGGAUAAGGGGUGCUCAAGUGAUUGAGCCGCAGAGAAUAGGCCCAGGCGACUGUUUAGCAAAAACACAGGUCUCUGCUAAAUCGAAAGAUGACGUAUAGGGGCUGACACCUGCCCGGUGCCGGAAGGUUAAGAGGAGAUGUGAGAGCAUUGAAUUGAAGCCCCGGUAAACGGCGGCCGUAACUAUAACGGUCCUAAGGUAGCGAAAUUCCUUGUCAGGUAAGUUCUGACCCGCAUGAAAGGCGUAAUGAUUUGGGCACUGUCUCAACAGCCCGCCCGGCGAAAUUGUAGUACCGGUGAAGAUGCCGGUUACCCGCGACAAGACGGAAAGACCCCAUGGAGCUUUACUGUAGCCUAAUAUUGGGUUUCGAUGUUGCAUGCACAGGAUAGAUGGGACACUGGGAAACAAUCGCUUUGGCGGUUGCGGAGUGGCCGUUGGGAUACCAUCCUUGCGAUAUUGGAAUUCUAACCUGCGCCUUUGAAUCAAGGCGGGGGACAUUGUUAGGUGGGCAGUUUGACUGGGGCGGUCGCCUCCUAAAGAGUAACGGAGGCGCUCAAAGGUUCGCUCUGCAUGGAUGGAAACCAUGCGUCAGAGUGUAAACGCAAAAGCGAGCCUAACUGCGAGAAUGACGGUUCGAGCAGUAACGAAAGUUGGAGUUAGUGAUCCGGCGGUAUGUGAAUGGAAAUGCCGUCGCUCAACGGAUAAAAGCUACCCUGGGGAUAACAGGCUGAUCUCCCCCAAGAGUCCACAUCGACGGGGAGGUUUGGCACCUCGAUGUCGGCUCAUCGCAUCCUGGGGCUGUAUUCGGUCCCAAGGGUUUGGCUGUUCGCCAAUUAAAGCGGUACGCGAGCUGGGUUCAGAACGUCGUGAGACAGUUCGGUCCCUAUCUGUCGUGGGCGCAGGAUAUUUGAGGAGCUCUGUCCUUAGUACGAGAGGACCGGGAUGGACGUACCUCUGGUGCACCAGUUGUCAUGCCAAUGGCACGGCUGGGCAGCUAUGUACGGAACGGAUAAACGCUGAAAGCAUCUAAGCGUGAAGCCGACUCCAAGAUUAGAUAUCCCAUCGUAUAACGAGUAAGACCCCUUGAAGACUACGAGGUUGAUAGGCUGCGUGUGUAAGUGCCGUGAGGCAUUCAGCUUGGCAGUACUAAUAGGUCGAGGGCUUGACCA